Molecule: small RNA, 29 nt
Filed under: Bombyx mori (domestic silkworm)
Lineage: Eukaryota; Metazoa; Arthropoda; Insecta; Lepidoptera; Bombycidae
Description: ovarian small RNA-20725
Source: RNAcentral
UACCGCACAGUUCGUGACGAAGGUUCGCC